This 464-nucleotide ribosomal RNA is filed under the name uncultured bacterium. Its description in RNAcentral is "bacterial SSU rRNA". It matches the Rfam family "Bacterial small subunit ribosomal RNA", at positions 338 to 795 of the family's 1533-position model. The record is from RNAcentral.
CCUACGGGACGCACCAGUGGGGAAUAUUGCACAAUGGGCGCAAGCCUGAUGCAGCCAUGCCGCGUGUAUGAAGAAGGCCUUCGGGUUGUAAAGUACUUUCAGCGGGGAGGAAGGUGUUGUGGUUAAUAACCACAGCAAUUGACGUUACCCGCAGAAGAAGCACCGGCUAACUCCGUGCCAGCAGCCGCGGUAAUACGGGGGGUGCAAGCGUUAUCGGAAUUACUGGGCGUAAAGCGCACGCAGGCGGUCUGUCAAGUCGGAUGUGAAGUCCCCGGGCUCAACCUGGGAACUGCAUUCGAAACUGGCAGGCUAGAGUCUUGUAGAGGGGGGUAGAAUUCCAGGUGUAGCGGUGAAAUGCGUAGAGAUCUGGAGGAAUACUGGUGGCGAAGGCGGCCCCCUGGACAAAGCCUGACGCUCAGGUGCGAAAGCGUGGGGAGCAAACAGGAUUAGAUACCCGCGUAGUC